GGAGAGGUGACUGAGCGGUUGAAAGUACCAGUCUUGAAAACUGGCGAGGAUUCACGUCCUCCGUGGGUUCAAAUCCCACCCUCUCCGCCA
Molecule: transfer RNA, 90 nt
Filed under: Pseudomonadota bacterium
Lineage: Bacteria; Pseudomonadati; Pseudomonadota
Also listed under: 2 other names
Description: tRNA-Ser
Rfam family: tRNA
About the family: Transfer RNA (tRNA) molecules are approximately 80 nucleotides in length.
Source: RNAcentral